This 484-nucleotide ribosomal RNA is filed under the name uncultured bacterium. RNAcentral's name for it is "partial 16S ribosomal RNA". It matches the Rfam family "Bacterial small subunit ribosomal RNA", at positions 30 to 507 of the family's 1533-position model. The record is from RNAcentral.
AUUGAACGCUGGCGGCAGGCCUAACACAUGCAAGUCGAGCGGAGGAAGGGAGCUUGCUCCUGGAUUCAGCGGCGGACGGGUGAGUAAUGCCUAGGAAUCUGCCUGGUAGUGGGGGAUAACGUCCGGAAACGGGCGCUAAUACCGCAUACGUCCUGAGGGAGAAAGUGGGGGAUCUUCGGACCUCACGCUAUCAGAUGAGCCUAGGUCGGAUUAGCUAGUUGGUGGGGUAAAGGCUUACCAAGGCGACGAUCCGUAACUGGUCUGAGAGGAUGAUCAGUCACACUGGAACUGAGACACGGUCCAGACUCCUACGGGAGGCAGCAGUGGGGAAUAUUGGACAAUGGGCGAAAGCCUGAUCCAGCCAUGCCGCGUGUGUGAAGAAGGUCUUCGGAUUGUAAAGCACUUUAAGUUGGGAGGAAGGGCAGUAAGUUAAUACCUUGCUGUUUUGACGUUACCAACAGAAUAAGCACCGGCUAACUUCGUG